GACGAACGCUGGCGGCGUGCUUAACACAUGCAAGUCGAACGGAAAGGCCCUGCUUUUGUGGGGUGCUCGAGUGGCGAACGGGUGAGUAACACGUGAGUAACCUGCCCUUGACAUUGGGAUAACUUCAGGAAACUGGGGCUAAUACCGGAUAGGAGCUCCUGCUGCAUGGUGGGGGUUGGAAAGUUUCGGCGGUUGGGGAUAGACUCGCGGCUUAUCAGCUUGUUGGUGGGGUAGUGGCUUACCAAGGCUUUGACGGGUAGCCGGCCUGAAAGGGUGACCGGCCACAUUGGGACUGAGAUACGGCCCAGACUCCUACGGGAGGCAGCAGUGGGGAAUAUUGCACAAUGGGCGGAAGCCUGAUGCAGCAACGCCGCGUGCGGGAUGACGGCCUUCGGGUGGUAAACCGCUUUCGCCUGUGACGAAGCGUGAGUGACGGUAAUGGGUAAAGAAGCACCGGCUAACUACGUG
This 468-nucleotide ribosomal RNA is filed under the name uncultured bacterium. RNAcentral describes it as "partial 16S ribosomal RNA". It matches the Rfam family "Bacterial small subunit ribosomal RNA", at positions 28 to 507 of the family's 1533-position model. The record is from RNAcentral.